AAGUCGUAACAAGGUUUCCGUAGGUGAACCUGCGGAAGGAUCAUUACUGAGUGAAAAUCUGGUUGGGUUGUUGCUGUCCCCUGACCCCUCAAAGGUUUGGGGGAAGUGUGCACACCUUGCCAUUGCUUUUCCACUGCCUCACCUGUGCACCACUGUAGAUUGGAUAUGUGGCAACAGUCCGGUCCAGUCUAUGUCCCUUUUAUCAAACCCCAUCAUUAUACAUACGUUGUGUUGUGUUGUGUUGUUUUCUUUUGAAUGGAUAUACUUAUGACAACUUUCGACAACGGAUCUCUUGGCUCUC
Molecule: unclassified non-coding RNA, 301 nt
Filed under: fungal sp.
Lineage: Eukaryota; Fungi
Description: partial internal transcribed spacer region
Rfam family: Eukaryotic small subunit ribosomal RNA (bases 1-46)
Source: RNAcentral